This 53-nucleotide transfer RNA is filed under the name Pertusaria plittiana. RNAcentral describes it as "tRNA-Trp". Lineage: Eukaryota; Fungi; Ascomycota; Lecanoromycetes; Pertusariales; Pertusariaceae. The record is from RNAcentral.
GGUAAAAUAUAAAGCUUCAAACUUUAGUUUCUUAGUUCGAAUCUAAGUGCUUU